AGAGUUUGAUCCUGGCUCAGGACGAACGCUGGCGGCGCGCCUAACACAUGCAAGUCGAACGAGCGAGAGAGAGCUUGCUUUCUCAAGCGAGUGGCGAACGGGUGAGUAACGCGUGAGGAACCUGCCUCAAAGAGGGGGACAACAGUUGGAAACGACUGCUAAUACCGCAUAAGCCCACGGCUCGGCAUCGAGCAGAGGGAAAAGGAGCAAUCCGCUUUGAGAUGGCCUCGCGUCCGAUUAGCUAGUUGGUGAGGUAACGGCCCACCAAGGCGACGAUCGGUAGCCGGACUGAGAGGUUGAACGGCCACAUUGGGACUGAGACACGGCCCAGACUCCUACGGGAGGCAGCAGUGGGGAAUAUUGCACAAUGGGGGAAACCCUGAUGCAGCGACGCCGCGUGGAGGAAGAAGGUCUUCGGAUUGUAAACUCCUGUUGUUGGGGAAGAUAAUGACGGUACCCAACAAGGAAGUGACGGCUAACUACGUGCCAGCAGCCGCGGUAAAACGUAGGUCACAAGCGUUGUCCGGAAUUACUGGGUGUAAAGGGAGCGCAGGCGGGAAGACAAGUUGGAAGUGAAAUCUAUGGGCUCAACCCAUAAACUGCUUUCAAAACUGUUUUUCUUGAGUAGUGCAGAGGUAGGCGGAAUUCCCGGUGUAGCGGUGGAAUGCGUAGAUAUCGGGAGGAACACCAGUGGCGAAGGCGGCCUACUGGGCACCAACUGACGCUGAGGCUCGAAAGUGUGGGUAGCAAACAGGAUUAGAUACCCUGGUAGUCCACACCGUAAACGAUGAUUACUAGGUGUUGGAGGAUUGACCCCUUCAGUGCCGCAGUUAACACAAUAAGUAAUCCACCUGGGGAGUACGACCGCAAGGUUGAAACUCAAAGGAAUUGACGGGGGCCCGCACAAGCAGUGGAGUAUGUGGUUUAAUUCGACGCAACGCGAAGAACCUUACCAAGUCUUGACAUCCCUUGACAGGCAUAGAAAUAUGUUUUCUCUUCGGAGCAAGGAGACAGGUGGUGCAUGGUUGUCGUCAGCUCGUGUCGUGAGAUGUUGGGUUAAGUCCCGCAACGAGCGCAACCCUUAUCCUCAGUAGCCAGCAAGUGAAGUUGGGCACUCUGUGGAGACUGCCAGGGAUAACCUGGAGGAAGGUGGGGAUGACGUCAAAUCAUCAUGCCCCUUAUGAUUUGGGCUACACACGUGCUACAAUGGCGUAAACAAAGGGAAGCGAUCACGCGAGUGUGAGCAAAUCUCAAAAAUAACGUCUCAGUUCGGAUUGUAGUCUGCAACUCGACUACAUGAAGCUGGAAUCGCUAGUAAUCGCAGGUCAGCAUACUGCGGUGAAUACGUUCCCGGGUCUUGCAC
This 1363-nucleotide ribosomal RNA is filed under the name uncultured bacterium. Its description in RNAcentral is "bacterial SSU rRNA". It matches the Rfam family "Bacterial small subunit ribosomal RNA", at positions 8 to 1386 of the family's 1533-position model. The record is from RNAcentral.